UACGGAGGGUGCGAGCGUUGUCCGGAAUCAUUGGGCGUAAAGCGCGCGUAGGUGGCCCCAUAAGUCCGCUGUGAAAGUCAAAGGCUCAACCUUUGAAAGCCGGUGGAUACUGUGGGACUAGAGUACGGAAGAGGCGAGUGGAAUUCCUGGUGUAGCGGUGGAAUGCGCAGAUAUCAGGAGGAACACCAAUAGCGAAGGCAGCUCGCUGGGACGUUACUGACACUGAGGCGCGAAAGCCAGGGGAGCAAACGGG
This 253-nucleotide ribosomal RNA is filed under the name uncultured bacterium. RNAcentral describes it as "partial 16S ribosomal RNA". It matches the Rfam family "Bacterial small subunit ribosomal RNA", at positions 524 to 776 of the family's 1533-position model. The record is from RNAcentral.